RNAcentral lists this long non-coding RNA (5085 nucleotides) under Nicotiana benthamiana. RNAcentral's name for it is "long non-coding RNA (NBEN_LNC036363)". Lineage: Eukaryota; Viridiplantae; Streptophyta; Magnoliopsida; Solanales; Solanaceae. The record is from RNAcentral.
UUCAGAGAAAAAUAUAUAUAUAUUUCAAUACGAGAAGAAUUUUAGAGAAAAAAAAAUUUCAAUACUGGAGAUUCAGAGAGAAAAAAUAUUUUUCAGUACUGGAGGAGUGAUAAAAAAUUUCAGAACUUAAGAGUUCAGUCUUGGAGAAUUAAAAACAAAAAAGUGAAGCCUUUUUUUUACUGCUGAAUAUCAGAAAUAGUAUUGUUACUAUUUCACUGGUUAUUGCUGGAUUUUCUACUUGGUUUUUCAAAUCUAUUCCUGGGUUCUUCCUGCGCUGUUUGGUUACUGGUUUACUACUUUGGUUGAUGAUCCUGUUGCUGUAUUGUGAUACUAUAGCACUACUGAUUUCUUCCUCUUAUUUGCUUUUCGAAUACCAGGUACACAGCUGAUACACUGGUUAAUGUAAACUGAAAAUUGAAGCACGAAUAAGAAAUGAAGAGUUGAAGUUUUAUAUUCGUUAUAGUCGUCUACUUGCUCGUAUAUACAGUAGAAUACUUUUUUCAUUAGAAUCAUGUAGUCAUUUGUUUGUGUAUAAAUAGUCAUGCUGUGUUAAUUCGUUAUUACUUGUCAAGAAGCAUGCUCGAUACUAUUGAUUAAACAUGUAAGCAGUUUAGGAUAAAAUUCAUUUUUUAGUUCUUUCACCCCAAUUGCAUGUCAUUCUAAAUUUGCAAAAAGUCUAUUAAUAAAAAAUAAUACAAGUUCACCUUAAGAUGGAUUAACGUUUAGAUUUAAUAAACUUUCGAAUAAGCAUUAAUAAUUAAGGUUGAUUUUAGUUUUAAAUAAAAAAUAAUACAAGUUUACCUUAAGAUGGUUUAACGUUUAGAUUUAAUAAACUUUCGAAUAAGAAUUAAUAUUUAAGUUUGAUUUUAUUUAUAAAUCGUUAUAAAUAAUUAAUGAUUUAUUCAUUUAAUUGUGCGCGUUUUUAAUCUAGCUAUAAUUAAUUUCUUUUGAAUAUUAGUUGUCAAAUUUCAUAUUCUAUUUAUAAUUUCAAAAUUUUAUUUUUUAUUUUUUAUUUAGAAAUUAUUUUUAUAUAUUUCCUUUCCAUUAAUAUUUGCCUUAAUCUAGCAAUUAGCGGGUUACAUUUUUUCAAGCUCGUAACUAAUUAGGAUUUUUUCUAUUUUAAUUUAGAGACAAAUUUAAUAGAAAAAAUAUGGCCACUUCAGGAUUUUCCUUUUAAAAUAAAUGAGGUGAGCCUCUCCAAAUAAAUAAAUUGUGGAGCCCUCAGUAAAUAUUUAAAAUAUAUAGAAAAAUAGGGAAGGGUCGUUUAGCGAAUUUCACGACUCUCCCAAAAGACCACAACUCACUAGACUCUCUUUAGGAUGCGCCUUAAUUAAUCUUACUUUCCUAAACUCGAGUGUGCAUUUAUGCCACCCAAAAUUAAAUCUCAACAGAGUCGAAAUAUGUCGACGACCACGGGGACACUGGCUGUGAUGUGGUCUGAGAUAUGUUUCACAAUGUUGCAAUUCUCUGUAAAUAAUAACAAUAAUAUUUUGAAUAAAAGCGGUCAAAAGUAAAAUUGGCAUAUAAGUUACAACAUAUUUAAAAAUCAGAUAAAUAAGCGGAAUAUAACAGUUGAGCAACCGUGCUAGAACCACGGAACUCGGGAAUGCCUAACACCUUCUCCCGGGUUAAUAGAAUUCCUAUCCGGAUUUCUGGUGCGCGGACUGUUAAACAGAGUCAUUCUUUUCUUCAAUUCGGGAUUAAACCGGUGAUUUGAGACACCAUAAAUCUCCCAAGUGGCGACUCUGAAUUAAAUAAACAAAUCCCGUUUCGAUUGUUUUUAAAUUGAAAAACUCCCUUGCGCCCUCGGGGUGCGCAGAAAAAGGAGGUGCGACAGCUCUGGCGACUCUGCUGUGGAUGAUAAACCCAGAAUCUCUGGUUCAGGGUAAAAGAAUUCGAGCUUGGAAUAAUUGUUGGAUUUGUCUUUAUUAUUAUCUGAUUUUAUUAUAUGACUGUGCUUAAUGUGCUAAUUGGCUGCUUUUACCACUUUUAUAUUGUUUUGACUGUAUAUAAAUUGUGCCGAAUCCUUUCUCUUCUUACCUCUAGGGAUGCUGCUCAGUGGUUUGAGACUCCCCAUUCUGUUAGUGUUACCCAAUAAGAAAGAGGCUUGGACAAGUUACGAAGCCAGACGAUCUCGCGGGUCCCCGGUAAGUUGCCCCCUCCUCGCCCGAGUUGUCCGUUCGGGUUAGCUAGGUCUAGAACAAAGCCCAAGUUUGAAACCUUAGAAUAACAAAAAUUCAUGCCGGAUCCCUAGUAGGAAACACUUAUUUGCAUCACGUUGCAUUUGACUUAGGGGGCUCAACACAAGGGUUGGGCCCAUCUAGGAAUAGCAACCUGAAACAAAAAGACCAUCACUGCUGCAUCUUGUUUGAUUUGCGCAUUUAUUUUGCUUCGAACUUACAUGUUGACCGGCUUGAGAUAGUCCCGUCUAGGAAUAGCAACCUGAAUGGAAAAGACUACCCUGCUGCAUCUUGUUUGUUUUGCGCAUUUAUUUGUUUCAGACUUGCACGCUGACCGACUUGUGAAAUCGGAAAUUUUGAAAAAAUUGUGAAAAAGAAAAAUGGCAAUGUAGAGAGAUAACUACUCAGUUUUAGGAAAAAAAACCAAUGCCCAAGUACUAGCAAAACUCUGCCGAAAUUUUGAAAAAAAAAAUAUAUUUUAUUGUUGAUAGUUUGUUCACUAAAAGCAAAGGAAAAAUAGAAAGAAAAAAGUUUUUUAUUAUUUUUGAAAAUUGUUUUUUGAAAGAAACAAAAAGAAUCGUUACGUUGUCUUGCUUUAGAAAAAAAAUAGUUUGUCUUGUAUUGAAAAUGAAAAAAAGGCUUGUUUUUUAAAAAUAAUUAAUUUAUUUUACUUAUUUAUGAAAUGCCAAAAAUGAAAAUGAAAAAAGAGUCUUAUUUUAAAAUAGUUAUUUUAUUUUGUUUGUUUAUGAGAUGCCAAAAGUGAAAAAAAAAAGAGUCUUGUUUUUUAAAAUAGUUAUUUUAUUUUAUUUUUUUAUAAAUGCCAAAAAUAAAAAUGAAAAAGAGUCAGGUUUUAAAAUAGUUUGGUUAAUUUGGGUAAAAUACGCUGGUUUGAUUCUCACCGGAUGUAAAAUACGUAGGCAGCCCUCAUCGGGUCCAACCUCCCCUUUUGCAAAAAAAUAGCCAAAAAAAUCAAAUUUUAAUGUUCGUCAUAAAUAAGUCGGGUGAUGCCGCUCUUGUCAAAUAUAGCCGAAUGUCUCCGAAAGGGACGCCGAAAGGCUGACUUUGCAUAAACGGUCACCUUUGGUCAUUUUUUAGAUUUUGGUCGAUUGACCCACACAACCUUAGAAUCUUCGUCCCCGAGGCACUGAAAGUCCGUGUUUGCAAAUAUCUGGUUUUUUAUUUUCGAAAAAUAAGAAAAGAGUCAUAAAUAAGUAGGGUGAUUCCGAUUUUGUCAAAAUAGCCCAAUGUUCCCGAAAGGGACGCCGGAAGGCUGACUUUUGCAUAAACAAUCACCCUUGGGUCAUUUUUUAAAUUUUGGCCCAGUUGACCCACAGCGAGUUCAAUUCCCAGAGAUCCUCUGAUAUUGGUAUGAAGGACUGCGGGUUCAAUUCCCGGAGAUCCCCGGAUAUUGAUAAAGUGGACUGCGGGUUCAAUUCCCGGAGAUCCUGUGAUAUUGGUAUGAAGGACUGCUGGUUCAAUUCCCGGAUAUCCUCGGAUAUUGAUAAAGUGGACUGCGGGUUCAGUUUCCGGAGAUCCUCGGAUAUUGAUAAAGUGGAAUGCGGGUUUGAUUAUUCGGAGCUCCAUGUAGAGACCCUAACUUUUGAGAUAUUUGCUUUGUGUUCGUAGUCUGUACUUGUAGCCGUUCUGUUUUAAUUACUGCCUUGUUAGAUAUUCGGGAUUUACUCCAUUAUCUACCGUUUAAUUAUUUAUGCAUUAUUUCUUAUGUUAUUCUCAGUAGGGCCUCGACCUUCCUCAUCACUACUCCAUCGAGGUUAGGCUUGGCACUUGCUGAGUACCUUUGUGGUGUACUCAUGCUACUCUUCUGCACACUUUUGUUGUGCAGAUCCAAGUACUCUUGAUCGGGCGUGUCAUCAGUGAUUAGGAGCUAUACUCGGAGAUCUGAAGUAUGCAUUUGCCGCGAGGCGAAGAUUCCCCCUCUGUUCUCUUGUUUUAUCUAUGUAUUCUCUCGUUGUAGACACUUCUGGAUUUUAGAGCCAUGUGUUAUACUUUACUCUUAGCCUGUGUUGCCCAUGGGUUUGCGGGUCUUGGAGAUUUUUACGUUAUUUGAGUUGACAUGUAUGUUCCAGGCGGCACUCUAUAUCCGCGUCCGCUGAGCCGAAGAGUCUCUUUCUAUUCUCCCUUUAGCUAGUGGUUUCGUUCAUGUACUCGCUUGUUGUAGAUACUCAUGGAUGUAGAGCCGUAUGUUAUACUUUACUCUUAGCCUGUGUGGCCCGUGGGUUUCCGGGUCUUGGAGAUUUUUACGUUAUUUUGAGUUGACAUGCAUAUGCCAGGCGGCACUUUAUACAUUAUCUUAUGUCAUGUUCUGUUUAUCGUUCCGCAAAGAUUGUUGAAUUUUCACUGUGUGCCAGGCUUACCUAGUCGCAAAAACUGGGUGCCGUCAUGACAGGUUCACGAUUAGUAAAUUAGGAUCGUGACAAAAAACCCAUAAAAUAAUGCUCACAAAAGGAAAAAGAAGUUAUGUCUGUUCAAUUUCAAAGGUUAUAUACACAAUUUCAUCUUAGGCAUAAAUAUAGAAAUAAUAAUCUGCCUAAAUAUACCUACAUCGAUCCCCACAGAAGUCCUCUCUCAAUCUAAAUCCAAAUAUUGCAAAGCUCUCGUUCCACUUUCCACUGCCGCCAUUGCAAAUGUAAAAUACCACAUUCUAAGAAUUAGUACAAAAAUAAACAAUCAUCAAAAAAAUUUGUAAUAAACAUGUAAAAGCAAUGCUUUAGGCUAUGGAUAACAAAUACAGAGGCUAUUGAAACUGUUGAAAAUACUAAAUUUAGAUGCACUUGCUAGUGCACUUUUCUGCUUCAAUUGGGUUAAAAUUAUCUCGUGUUUAUUCUCCUUAUUUCUUGCAAUUGGCUUUAGACUUGCAAGGAGAGCCAGAAUGCUUUACACACCC